UACGUAGGGUGCAAGCGUUGUCCGGAAUUAUUGGGCGUAAAGAGCUCGUAGGCGGUUUGUCGCGUCUGCUGUGAAAACUCGGGGCUUAACCCCGGGCCUGCAGUGGGUACGGGCAGACUAGAGUGCGGUAGGGGAGACUGGAAUUCCUGGUGUAGCGGUGAAAUGCGCAGAUAUCAGGAGGAACACCGGUGGCGAAGGCGGUUCUCUGGGCAUUACCUGACGCUGAGGAGCGAAAGUGUGGGGAGCGAACAGG
RNAcentral lists this ribosomal RNA (253 nucleotides) under uncultured bacterium. RNAcentral describes it as "partial 16S ribosomal RNA". It matches the Rfam family "Bacterial small subunit ribosomal RNA", at positions 524 to 776 of the family's 1533-position model. The record is from RNAcentral.